GUCUUCUUGUUAUAUUUAGGAAGUCUGGCCUGCCCAGUGAAAAUAAUUUAACGGCCGCGGUAUACUGACCGUGCAAAGGUAGCAUAAUCAUUAGUCUUUUAAUAGAGGGCUGGUAUGAAGGGUUUAACGAGGUGUUGACUGUCUCAUUUAAUUUGAAUUUAGAAUUUAAUUUUUUAGUUAAAAAGCUAAAAUAUUAUUGGAAGACGAGAAGACCCUAUAGAGCUUUAUACUUUUACUAUUAAUUUAUUAUAGGUUAUUAUUAUUUAUUAUUAGUAGAAAGUAUUUUGUUGGGGUGACAAAAAUAUAUAAAUAACUUUUUUAUUUUAUUUACAUUGAUAUAUGAAUAUUAGAUCCAAUCUUAUUGAUUGUUAGAUUAAGUUACCUUAGGGAUAACAGCGUAAUCCCUCUCCAGAGUUCAUAUUUACAGAGGGGCUUGCGACCUCGAUGUUGGAUUAAGAUAAUAAUUAGGUGCAGCCGCUUAAUUAAUAGGUCUGUUCGACCUUUAAAUUCUU
Molecule: ribosomal RNA, 512 nt
Filed under: Aeshna subarctica
Lineage: Eukaryota; Metazoa; Arthropoda; Insecta; Odonata; Aeshnidae
Description: partial 16S rRNA
Rfam family: Bacterial large subunit ribosomal RNA
Source: RNAcentral